UGGGGAAUAUUGGACAAUGGGCGAAAGCCUGAUCCAGCCAUGCCGCGUGAGUGAUGAAGGCCCUAGGGUUGUAAAGCUCUUUUGUGCGGGAAGAUAAUGACGGUACCGCAAGAAUAAGCCCCGGCUAACUUCGUGCCAGCAGACGCGGUAAUACGAAGGGGGCUAGCGUUGCUCGGAAUCACUGGGCGUAAAGGGUGCGUAGGCGGGUUUCUAAGUCAGAGGUGAAAGCCUGGAGCUCAACUCCAGAACUGCCUUUGAUACUGGAAGUCUUGAGUUCGGGAGAGGUCAGUGGAACUGCGAGUGUAGAGGUGAAAUUCGUAGAUAUUCGCAAGAACACCAGUGGCGAAGGCGGCUCACUGGCCCGAUACUGACGCUGAGGCACGAAAGCGUGGGGAGCAAACA
Molecule: ribosomal RNA, 402 nt
Filed under: uncultured bacterium
Lineage: Bacteria
Description: bacterial SSU rRNA
Rfam family: Bacterial small subunit ribosomal RNA
Source: RNAcentral